UACGUAGGGGGCAAGCGUUGUCCGGAAUCAUUGGGCGUAAAGAGCGUGUAGGCGGCUCGGUAAGUCCGCUGUGAAAGUCCAGGGCUCAACCCUGGAAUGCCGGUGGAAACUGUCGAGCUAGAGUCCGGAAGAGGCGAGUGGAAUUCCUGGUGUAGCGGUGAAAUGCGCAGAUAUCAGGAGGAACACCAAUGGCGAAGGCAGCUCGCUGGGACGGUACUGACGCUGAGACGCGAAAGCGUGGGUAGCAAACAGG
Molecule: ribosomal RNA, 253 nt
Filed under: uncultured bacterium
Lineage: Bacteria
Description: partial 16S ribosomal RNA
Rfam family: Bacterial small subunit ribosomal RNA
Source: RNAcentral